Molecule: ribosomal RNA, 468 nt
Filed under: uncultured bacterium
Lineage: Bacteria
Description: partial 16S ribosomal RNA
Rfam family: Bacterial small subunit ribosomal RNA
Source: RNAcentral
GACGAACGCUGGCGGCGUGCUUAACACAUGCAAGUCGAACGGAAAGGCCCUGCUUUUGUGGGGUGCUCGAGUGGCGAACGGGUGAGUAACACGUGAGUAACCUGCCCUUGACUUUGGGAUAACUUCAGGAAACUGGGGCUAAUACCGGAUAGGAGCUCCUGCUGCAUGGUGGGGGUUGGAAAGUUUCGGCGGUUGGGGAUGGACUCGCGGCUUAUCAGCUUGUUGGUGGGGUAGUGGCUUACCAAGGCUUUGACGGGUAGCCGGCCUGAGAGGGUGACCGGCCACAUUGGGACUGAGAUACGGCCCAGACUGCUACGGGAGGCAGCAGUGGGGAAUAUUGCACAAUGGGCGGAAGCCUGAUGCAGCAACGCCGCGUGCUGGAUGACGGCCUUCGGGUUGUAAACCGCUUUCGCCUGUGACGAAGCGUGAGUGACGGUAAUGGGUAAAGAAGCACCGGCUAACUACGUG